Molecule: long non-coding RNA, 4836 nt
Filed under: Homo sapiens (human)
Lineage: Eukaryota; Metazoa; Chordata; Mammalia; Primates; Hominidae
Description: non-protein coding lnc-VGLL4-9:3
Source: RNAcentral
ACUUCCUUCUCCAGGGCUUCGCUGAACUCUGCACAGACCUCAAUUACAACCCUUAUAAAGCUGGGUUGUGGUCGGGUGCGGUGGCUCAUGCCUGUAAUCCCAGCACUUGGGAGACUGAGGCAUGUGAGUCGCCUGAACCCGGGAGGCAGAGGUUGAAGUGAGCCGAGAUCGUGCCACUGCACUCCAGCCUGGGCGACAGAGCGAGACUCCGUCUCAAAAGGUCUCGUUUUGUCACCCAGGCUGGAUACACUGGCACGUUCAAUAGUUCACGGCAGCCUCGACCUCCCGGGCUCAAGCAACUCUCCCAUCUCAGCAUCCCGAGUAGCUGAGACCACAGAGACGGGGUUUCACCGUGUUAGCCAGGAUCGUCUGGAUCUCCUGACCUCGUGAUCCACCCGCCUUGGCCUCCCAAAGUGCUAGGAUUACAGGCGUGGGACACCGUGCCCAGCCCAGGUCCUUGUGCCCUUCGAGGGUGCAGACGGUGGUCUCUGCAUCUCCUUUGCUCCACGUGCCAGGCACAGGUGCCUGGGAACUACAGAAGAGGUUGAAUAGAAGGCUUAACAAUGAGUUUGGAAGUCAGGCACAGAGGGUUUGACUUCCGGGGGCACCCCUUGCCAGCUGUAUGACCCUGGCAAGUCACUCUUCCUUUCUGCGCCUUGGUCCCUGCAUCUAUAAAUUGCUGUAAGGAUGAAAUUACAUAAUUAUAGGUAAAGCACCUGGCACAGUGAACAGUCCACAAAUCUUAGCUAUAAUAACAAUGACGUCAGUUAAGUAACUCACUUAGAAACAACACUGGCCACUGAAGUGGAGGGCCAGUGAAGUGGAGUCAAGUGCUGGGAGGAAGUCCAGGCCAGCAGGCCAACUUUGGUAUACAAAGAUGUGAAAACACGCUUGGCGUGGUGGCUCACGCCUGUAAUCCCAGCACUUCGGAAGGCCGAAGCAGGCAGAUCACCUGAGGUCAGGAGUUCCAGACCAGCCUGGCCAAGAUGGCGAAACUCUGUCUCUACUAAAAAUAUAAAAAUUAGCCAGGCGUGUUGGCGUGUGCCUGUAGUCCCGGCUACUCCUCGGGAGGCUGAGGCAGGAGAAUCACUUGAACCUGGGAGGCAGAAGUUGCAGUGGGCCGAGAUUGCACCAUUGCACUCCAGCCUGGGUGACAGAGCAAGACCCUGUCUCAAAACAAAAAAACAAAGAUGUGAAAACAGCCAACCACCAGGUGGCAAUCCAUGCAAGAGCCCAGCUGCCGGGUGUGCCCCAGCUUCAAGCCAGACAGACCUCAGACAUCCAGGGCCUGGGGAAGGUCCAGCCCCAAAUGGCAGCCAUCUGAUAGCAGCAAAAGAAAACCUGUGGGCCAGGCGCGGUGGCUCACGCCUGUAAUCUCAGCACUUUGGGAGGCCGCGGCGGGCGGAUCACGAGGUCAGGAGUUCAAGACCAGCUUGGCCAAUAUGGUGAAACCCCAUCUCUACUAAAAAUACAAAAAUUAACUGGGUGUGGUGGCGCAUGCCUGUAGUCCCAGCUACUCAAGAGGCUGAGGCAGAAGAAUCACUUGAAUCUGGGAGGCGGAGGUUACAGUGAGCCGAGAUAGUGCCGCUGCACUCCAGCCUGGGCAACAGAACGAGACUGUCUCAAAAAAAAAAAAAAAGAAAACCUGUGAACCUGGGGGCUGGGGAACAGAGCUCUUGCCCAUGCGAAACAUGGGGUGCUGGGAGAGCUCAUGAAAAUGUACAUCAUUCAUGUGCCAUGCGCUUGCUGAGUACUUCCCAUGCAUAAUUCAAUUUCAGCCUCAUGGCAGCCUUUCUCAGUUGAUGUUGUUAUCCCAGUUCAGAGAGGAGUAAACUGAGGCCCAGAGAAGUUAAAAAACUUGCCCAAGGACAUACAGCUAGUGAGUGGUGGAGCUGGGAUUUGAACCCAGGCAGUCUGUUUCCAGAGAACUGCUUCAGGCCCUCCUGCCCCUAUCAAGAGGCCAGGGCAGGGCAGAGCCUACAGGUGGGACUCCAGGGGUCCAGAGCUGGAUGAUCUACACACAGGGGAUCACAUGAUGCAAGCAGUUUCCGUACAAUGCGUUCUAUUUAGGGUGGGUUGUCCUUCUCCAGAAGGAAGAAUUUCUCCCUGGAGACUGGCCAGAUGCAGCCUGGUGGGUGGCAGUGCAUACAUUCCCAUCUCCUCAGACCUACCUACCAAGAACAGCCGCGCUGAUGAGAGUCCUGUGUCACUGGCGAAAUUGCUUCCAAAUUGCCUUCUUCAUUAACUGUGCAAAUUUGCAUCUUAAUUAGGCUUAAUGGAAUACAAUUACCAGACCCCACGUUUCUCUCUCUGAUUUCAAGCAAGGAUGCCACAGAGACAGGCCAGAAGCCAAAAACGUGGGGCUGGAGGGAGCCUGGUUGGGCUCUCCCUGCAGGAAACCUCGCAUCUGGGAAAGGAGGGGCCAGGCGCUACCCAGCGGGGACUGCACCUGGUACAUCCAGGCUCCUGAACUGAGGAGACCAUGGGAUUUGGAAUCAAGCUUUGGGAAGCCUGCCUCUGCCUCUGACCAGUGGAGGACUGACCCUUUCUGAGCCUCUGUUUUCUCAUUUGUAAAUUGGAGAUGGUGAUAACAUUUACUAUGGGGUAGCUGCAGGGAUCAAAGGUGAUCGCGUGUGUGUUAGCACCUGGUAAAGCACCUAACACGUAGUUUGUUCUCUUUCUCCAUGCCCUCCCUUUUUGAGGCCUACAAGGUUGUGCAGAGCUGAUCCCGGCCUUCCCCUUCGGUGAUUCAGUGAGCGUCAGCUUAUUUCAUCCUCCCUUCCAUGCUCUGGCCAUACACACUUCUGAGUCCUGGGAAGGCUCUAAGCUCCUUCCUGUCUUGUGAGCUUUUCAAGUGCUAUUCCCUCUGCUUGGAACACCUGACCCCUGGUUAGUACCUACUCAUCCUUCCAAUCUCAGCUCAAACAGCACUGUCUCCAGGAAGCCUUCCCUAGCCCCAGAAUAAACUCUCCUAACAUCAUUUAUCUAUGGGAUUAUUUAAUAUGUGUCCCUCUCUCUCCCACAGACAGUAAGCUCCAUGAGUGCAGAGAACACUUCUAUUGUGUUCUCUGUUGCAUCUCCAGCUCCUGGUUCAGGGCUUAUCACAUAGUAGGUCCCAUUCAUGUCUGUUUAAUGGAUGGAUAUGAACAUCCCACUGAGCCUCAGCGAAUGUCAAGUGGGAGCCAUAAUCUCAUCCUUAUGGUGCUGUGAAAUCAUUAAAUGAUUUUUGGCACACAGUAGGUGUUUGACGAAUGAGAUACCUAUUCUCCCAUUCCUUUCAAUUAAGGAAAAGUUAGAAGCAGGCAUAUAGGUAGCUUAAAGGACAGCAUGUUCAUGGAUAGGAACCCCCAAUAUUGUCUAGAUGUCAGUUUUUACCAACUUGAUUUAUAGAUUUAAUGCAACCCCAAUCAAAAUUCCAGCAAGUUAUUUUGUGGAUAUAAGCAAACUGAUUAUGAAGUUUAUAUGGAGAGCAAAAGACCCAGAAUAACCAACACAAUAUUGAGGGAGAAGAGCAAAGUUGGCAGACUGACACUACCCAACUUUAAGACUUACUAUAAAGCUACAGUAAUUAAUAUGGUAUUGGUGAAACAAUAAACAGAGUAAUGGAACAGAAUCCAGAAUCCAGAGAUAAAUCGACAUAAAUACAGUCAAGUUGUUUUUGACAAAAGGGCAAAGUCAAUACAAUGGAGAAAAAUUCUUUUCAGCAAAUGGUGCUGGAACAACUGGACAUCCACAUGCAAAAAAGUACAUCUAGAUACAGACCUUACACCCUUCAGACAAAGUAACUCAAAAUGGACCAUAAGCCUAAGCAUAAAACCAAAAUUAUAAAACUCCUAGAAGAUAACACAGGAGAAAACCUGGAUGACCUUGGGUUGGCAAUGACUUUUUAGAUACAAUACCAAAGGCAUGCUCCUUGAAAGAAAUAAUUAAUUGAGAAGCCAGAAGGCAAAAUGGUACAGCCAUUUUGGAAGACAGUUUGGCCGUUUCUCACAAAACUAAAUAUACUCUUACCAUACCAUGCAGCAAUUAUACUCCUUGGUGUUUACCCAAGACUUGAAAACUUGUGUCUACACAAAAAUCUGCACGAGUGUUUAAAGCAGCUUUAUUUUUAUUUAUAAUUGCCAAAGCUUGGAGGCAAGUAAGAUGUCCUUUGGUAAGUGAAUGGGUAAACUAUGGUUCAUCCAGAUAAUGAGAUACUAUUCAAUGUUAAAAAUAAAUAAGCUAUCAAGCCAUGGGGAGAGAUGGAGGAAACUGACAUGCAUACUAUUAAGUGAAAGAAGCCCAUCUGAAAACGCUACGUACUAUAUGGUUCCAACUGUAUGACGUCCUGGAAAAGGCAAAACUUUGGAAACAGUAAAAAGAUCAAUGGUUAGCAGGAUUUGGGCAGGGGAAGGGAUGAAUAGGCAGAUCACAGAUGAUUUUUAGGAGAGUAAAAAAUGCACGGUAUUAGAAUGAUGGAUACAUAUUAUCCAUUUGUCCAAACCCACAGAAAGUGCAACAUCAAGAGGGAGCCCUCAUGGAAACUGUGGCUCUGGGUGACAAUGAUGUGUCAUGUAGGCUCAUCCGUGGUAACAAAUGCACCACUCUGUGGGGAUGUUGACAGUGCAGGGGACUGUGCAUAUGUGAGGACAGAGGGUACAUGUAAAUCUCUAUAUCUUCAGCAGAAUUUUGCUGUGACCCUAAGACUGCUUGAAGAAAAAUAAAGUCUUCGUUAAAACAAAACAAAACAUCUUGGCUAGGGGAUGGAGGAGGGUGGGGGCCAGGAGGUCAAUACCACAUAGGGUCAGGAUGCUAAAAGCUGGAAGAAGUCUUAGAAAUCAUCUAGUUAAAGUGGCU